GUUAUCCGGGAUUAUUGGGCGUAAAGCGUCCGCAGGCGGCCCUUCAAGUCUGCUGUUAAAACGUGGAGCUUAACUCCAUCAUGGCAGUGGAAACUGUUGGGCUUGAGUGUGGUAGGGGCAGAGGGAAUUCCCGGUGUAGCGGUGAAAUGCGUAGAUAUCGGGAAGAACACCAGUGGCGAAGGCGCUCUGCUGGGCCAUAACUGACGCUCAUGGACGAAAGCCAGGGGAGCGAAAGGGAUUAGAUACCCCUGUAGUCCUGGCCGUAAACGAUGAACACUAGGUGUCGGGGGAAUCGACCCCCUCGGUGUCGUAGCCAACGCGUUAAGUGUUCCGCCUGGGGAGUACGCACGCAAGUGUGAAACUCAAAGGAAUUGACGGGGGCCCGCACAAGCGGUGGAGUAUGUGGUUUAAUUCGAUGCAACGCGAAGAACCUUACCAGGGUUUGACAUCCUGCGAACCUCUUGGAAACGAGAGGGUGCCUUCGGGAGCGCAGUGACAGGUGGUGCAUGGCUGUCGUCAGCUCGUGUCGUGAAAUGUUGGGUUAAGUCCCGCAACGAGCGCAACCCACGUCUUUAGUUGCCAGCAUUUAGUUGGGCACUCUAGAGAGACCGCCGGUGAUAAACCGGAGGAAGGCGUGGAUGACGUCAAGUCAUCAUGCCCCUUACAUCCUGGGCUACACACGUACUACAAUGCUACGGACAAAGAGCAGCAAGUUCGCGAGGACAAGCAAAUCUCAUAAACCGUGGCUCAGUUCAGAUCGUAGGCUGCAACUCGCCUACGUGAAGGAGGAAUCGCUAGUAAUCGCAGGUCAGCAUACUGCGGUGAAUACGUUCCCGGGCCUUGUACACACCGCCCGUCACACCAUGGAAGUUGGCCACGCCCGAAGCCGUUACUCCAACCCUUGUGGAGGAGGACGUCGAAGGUGGGGCUGAUGACUGGGGUGAAGUCGUAACAAGGUAGCCGUA
This 965-nucleotide ribosomal RNA is filed under the name uncultured bacterium. RNAcentral's name for it is "bacterial SSU rRNA". It matches the Rfam family "Bacterial small subunit ribosomal RNA", at positions 540 to 1504 of the family's 1533-position model. The record is from RNAcentral.